Molecule: ribosomal RNA, 385 nt
Filed under: uncultured bacterium
Lineage: Bacteria
Description: bacterial SSU rRNA
Rfam family: Bacterial small subunit ribosomal RNA
Source: RNAcentral
UGGGGAAUAUUGCACAAUGGGCGAAAGCCUGAUGCAGCGACGCCGCGUGAGUGAAGAAGGCCUUCGGGUCGUAAAACUCUGUCCUUGGUGACGAAAAAAAUGACGGUAGCCAAGGAGGAAGCCCCGGCUAACUACGUGCCAGCAGCCGCGGUAAUACGUAGGGGGCGAGCGUUGUCCGGAUUUACUGGGCGUAAAGGGUGAGUAGGCGGUUGUAUAAGUCAGAUGUAAAAGGCACAGGCUUAACUUGUGUAAGCAUUUGAAACUGUACAACUUGAGUGCAGGAGAGGUAAGUGGAAUUCCUAGUGUAGCGGUGAAAUGCGUAGAUAUUAGGAGGAACACCAGUGGCGAAGGCGACUUACUGGACUGUGACUGACGCUGAGUCACG